GUAAACAAUGGCUGACAAAGAAGAUAUGCACAUUUUUUUCACAUCCACGGUUUAGUUCCCCUUAAUCUUCAUUGACAAUACAAUUCGGUGUGAGCGUAGUUGAGGAAGAGGCGUACGUAAAAUGGAUUGAUUAAUGAUUAUUUACACACGUUCGACAGGCUCAACAGACAGAUGGUCAGUGUUCAAUUAAAAGAACUCGAUUAAAAAAAUGGACUGGUGGCUUCACCCACAUUUAUUAGCAAUGCUGACAUGUUUCGUUACUCAAAAACAAUUUGAGCUCUACCAAUUUAAUCUUUAUCAGUACUGUGCACACAUUGUGGAUUGUUUCCCCCCCCAGCUCUGUUUUAAUGUGAAAUCUGCAAUUAGCAUUCACAUGCUGUGCUUGACUUGCUUGAUUAAUUCCAUUACAUUUUGUAAACGCAGACCAACUAUGAUGCCCAGUGAUGUUUUUGCAGGCUGAAAUGAGGACAUUUUUAGGCAAACCGAUGACACAGAGUUGUUGUUUUUCAUCUUUUUCCUAUCAAUGAAAAAUAAUGUCCUUUACAGUUAAUACACUCCAGAGUGCACGUUCACACGUUUAACAAGAUUUUUUUUUUUUAUUAACAUAUAACCAACUCCGAAUCAGCAUAAUUGCCAAUUAAGCCAAGCUCAAGUCUGUUUAAAGGUCACCAGGAAAUAGUGAGAUUUCCAAUGAAGGCUGAAACGACAGCUGAAACUCUCAGCCUGGUAAGCGUUUUUCUCUUCAGCAAA
Molecule: long non-coding RNA, 750 nt
Organism: Hippocampus comes (tiger tail seahorse)
Lineage: Eukaryota; Metazoa; Chordata; Actinopteri; Syngnathiformes; Syngnathidae
Exons: 2
Source: RefSeq, a predicted model, not a curated record